Molecule: ribosomal RNA, 375 nt
Filed under: uncultured Actinomycetes bacterium
Lineage: Bacteria; Bacillati; Actinomycetota; Actinomycetes
Description: bacterial SSU rRNA
Rfam family: Bacterial small subunit ribosomal RNA
Source: RNAcentral
AACGCGAAGAACCUUACCUACCCUUGACAUGGGGAACCGCUGAGAGGUGGGAGUGCGAAAGAGAACCGGCGCACAGGUGCUGCAUGGCUGGAGCGUGGUGAGAUGUUGGGUUAAGCCGCAACGAGCGCAACCCGUUAUGUUGCCAGCGGUGGCCGGGGACAUAGGAGACUGCCGGGGAACGGAGGAAGGUGGGGACGACGAAAAAUGCCCCUUAUGUUGGGCUACGCAUGCUACAAUGGCCGGUACAAAGGGUUGCGAUACUGUGAGGUGGAGCUAACCAAAAAGCCGGAGUGGAUUGGGGUGCAACGACCCCAUGAAGGGAGGCUAGUAAGCAGAAGCAACGCUGCGGUGAAUACGUCCGGGUUGUACACACCG